RNAcentral lists this ribosomal RNA (443 nucleotides) under uncultured bacterium. Its description in RNAcentral is "partial 16S ribosomal RNA". It matches the Rfam family "Bacterial small subunit ribosomal RNA", at positions 338 to 795 of the family's 1533-position model. The record is from RNAcentral.
CCUACGGGUGGCAGCAGUGGGGAAUCUUGGGCAAUGGAGGCAACUCUGACCCAGCAACGCCGCGUGAAUGAUGGAGGUUCUCGGAUUGUUAAGUUCCUUUCUUAGGGAAGCAGAUAGUGACGGUACCAUAGGAAUAAGCAUAGGCUAAUUACGUCCCAGCAGCCGCGGCAAUACGUCGGAGGCAAGCGUCGUCCGGAGUGACUGGUCGUAAAGGGUGCGUAGGUGGUUUGACAAGUUAGUGGCGAAACUCCGGGGCUCAACUUCGGAACUACUACUAAAACUGUUGGACUUGAGUGCAGGAGGGGCAAUAGGAAUUCCUGGUGUAGCGGUGAAAUGCGUAGAUAUUAGGAGGAACACCAGUGGCGAAGGCGGAUUGCUAGACUGUAACUGACACUGAGGCACGAAAGCGUGGGGAGCAAACAGGAUUAGAUACCCCGGUAGUC